GAUAAAAAAAAAGUUUGAAAUGAAGCACCUUCUAGGAAUGGACCUUCUUGUUGCUGUUGCCGUCGCAUUGGCUGUGAUCAUCAUGGCUCCUAACGAAGCGGUCGCUCUGGGUGAUGGCAUCGGAGGCAUUAGUUCAAUUGGUUUGCGCAAGAAGUGAACGACUGCUGAAAAUGAAUUAAGCUCUGGUCAUUGGUGCUGGCUAUUGAGUCGCUUUUCAAUUGCAAUAAAGCUUUAAUACGUGAGAA
Molecule: long non-coding RNA, 245 nt
Organism: Rhipicephalus microplus (southern cattle tick)
Lineage: Eukaryota; Metazoa; Arthropoda; Arachnida; Ixodida; Ixodidae
Source: RefSeq, a predicted model, not a curated record